UACGAAGGGGGCUAGCGUUGCUCGGAAUCACUGGGCGUAAAGCGCACGUAGGCGGAUUCCUAAGUCGGUGGUGAAAUCCUGGAGCUCAACUCCAGAACUGCCUCCGAUACUGAGAGUCUCCGAGUCCGGGAGAGGUGAGUGGAACUGCGAGUGUAGAGGUGAAAUUCGUAGAUAUUCGCAAGAACACCAGUGGCGAAGGCGGCUCACUGGCCCGGUACUGACGCUGAGGUGCGAAAGCGUGGGAAGCAAACAGG
This 254-nucleotide ribosomal RNA is filed under the name uncultured bacterium. Its description in RNAcentral is "partial 16S ribosomal RNA". It matches the Rfam family "Bacterial small subunit ribosomal RNA", at positions 524 to 776 of the family's 1533-position model. The record is from RNAcentral.